GACAAGGUAGACUGGUAGACAGCCUUCAAGGACCCAACACCAUCUGCUCUCUGUCCAUUAAGACUUUCACCAAGAUGAAAGCUGCCAGUAAAACAACAGCAGACCGGUCAUUUUGUGCUUUGAUGGUAGGCUUGUUCCUGACGUCUUCCAUUGCUAUAGACUAAAGAUUUGUGUCUAGGUUUCCCUUCAUUCUUCUCCAUUGUAUGUAUGCCAGCUUUUGAUCGGAUAGAGCAUCCAUUGUAUUCAAUAAUCAUGCUGACAUAUAUGUAUGAAAGACCGUAUACCUUAUGUCUCCCAUCUCCAC
RNAcentral lists this long non-coding RNA (304 nucleotides) under Setaria viridis. RNAcentral's name for it is "long non-coding RNA (SVIR_LNC001399)". Lineage: Eukaryota; Viridiplantae; Streptophyta; Magnoliopsida; Poales; Poaceae. The record is from RNAcentral.